GGGUACCCAGGCCCAGGUCUAGUGACAUUAUAUAUCCUGAGGGUGAAAAUUUCAUUGAAAUCAAAUAAAAAAAUUACUAAUCAAUAUAGAAAGACUUUCUCUUUUAAGUACAAAUAGAAAUUCAACAACAAACAGCUUAAGACACUCUUAAAUUAAAAGACUGCUGGUGAAAUUAGUACAGAAGAGGAACAGUCUCAGGAAAAGUGUAUGUUUGUCGAUUCAUGUGGGAAAGUGUGGCGGCAACUGGCAAGAAAUCUUAACGGUCGCCCAGGUUUGGUAGGCUAACUGCUGCAGUCUGCAAGGGGUGCGUGUGCGUCUCCGACUUUAUUGUCCCCAAAAUCCGCCUUCGGACAGCAAUCCACCACUCACGCGUUCCCCACACUGUGGAUCUCAAAUUUCAACUUAAUUUAGUAAUAUAUGAAAGCUAUUAAUUUAUUAAACAUCUGCUUAUACAAAAUAUCAUCCAGGAUUACUGAUGCGACUAUAUGUAUUUAAAAAAAAUAUUUGGAUAGUAUCAAUUAUAAUAGUUAAUUUUGUAUAUUUAUUAUUUAUAAGUUAUCUAAAUAAAGUAAGUCAUUUAAGGAAAGAAAAGUAAAUGCACGCUAUUUUAUUAUUUUAUGAAAUUUUGCAUUAAAUAUUAAAUUACAUGUCCGGUAGUUGGCAAAUAUCCUAUGAAAACUGCGCGUGGGCAUGAAAUUACUGCGAUUGGAGUUCCGUUUAAACUUCAUGCGGUACAGAGAAGACUCUUUAUUGUGGAAUUUAACACGUUCAUACAUAAACAACGAAUGAGAUUCACAAGAUUCUAACCACGUGGCCCAAGGCAGCCACCGAAACAGAGAAGCCGUCCAGGUACUUUUGGUUACAUUCUAGAAUGAGAGAAAGCAAGAAAAGGAAGGAAAAUCAAUUAAAAGCAAGCAAUUAAACUUUGAUUUUGAGUCUUACCCUUUUCGCUUGGGAAAUUCUCGACCUCAGAUUUUUUGUCUGGUUAGGAGUUGUCACGCCUUAAGAAAACCUUCUCACAUUCUUCUUGCUUUCCUCCUGCAGAACGCCUCCAUUUCUUACGUCUCCCAAAUUCUCUCACUUCGUGAAUUUGGUCAACAAUAACAAAAACAAUCCAAUUUUCUCGGAUUCCUAUUUGCACCUUUUUUAGUUUUCUUUAUUGGGUAUUUUUUUCACUUUCUUGAAUUGCGCCCCGAAUAUCUCCUGUAANNNN
Molecule: long non-coding RNA, 1213 nt
Filed under: Ricinus communis (castor bean)
Lineage: Eukaryota; Viridiplantae; Streptophyta; Magnoliopsida; Malpighiales; Euphorbiaceae
Description: long non-coding RNA (RCOM_LNC000350)
Source: RNAcentral